RNAcentral lists this ribosomal RNA (518 nucleotides) under uncultured fungus. Its description in RNAcentral is "SSU rRNA". It matches the Rfam family "Eukaryotic small subunit ribosomal RNA", at positions 214 to 732 of the family's 1831-position model. Lineage: Eukaryota; Fungi. The record is from RNAcentral.
AUUAAAAACCAAUGCCCUUCGGGGCUCUCUGGUGAUUCAUAAUAACUUCUCGAAUCGCACGGCCUUGCGCCGGCGAUGGUUCAUUCAAAUUUCUGCCCUAUCAACUUUCGACGGCUGGGUCUUGGCCAGCCGUGGUGACAACGGGUAACGGAGGGUUAGGGCUCGACCCCAGAGAAGGAGCCUGAGAAACGGCUACUACAUCCAAGGAAGGCAGCAGGCGCGCAAAUUACCCAAUCCCGACACGGGGAGGUAGUGACAAUAAAUACUGAUACAGGGCUCUUUCGGGUCUUGUAAUUGGAAUGAGUACAAUUUAAAUCCCUUAACGAGGAACAAUUGGAGGGCAAGUCUGGUGCCAGCAGCCGCGGUAAUUCCAGCUCCAAUAGCGUAUAUUAAAGUUGUUGAGGUUAAAAAGCUCGUAGUUGAACCUUGGGCCUAGCCGGCCGGUCCGCCUCACCGCGUGCACUGGCUCGGCUGGGUCUUUCCUUCUGGAGAACCGCAUGCCCUUCACUGGGUGUGCC